GAGUUUGAUCCUGGCUCAGAUUGAACGCUGGCGGCAGGCCUAACACAUGCAAGUCGAGCGGUAACAGAUCCAGCUUGCUGGAUGCUGACGAGCGGCGGACGGGUGAGUAAUGCAUAGGAAUCUGCCCGAUAGUGGGGGAUAACCUGGGGAAACCCAGGCUAAUACCGCAUACGUCCUACGGGAGAAAGGGGGCUCCGGCUCCCGCUAUGGGAUGAGCCUAUGUCGGAUUAGCUAGUUGGUGAGGUAACGGCUCACCAAGGCAACGAUCCGUAGCUGGUCUGAGAGGAUGAUCAGCCACAUCGGGACUGAGACACGGCCCGAACUCCUACGGGAGGCAGCAGUGGGGAAUAUUGGACAAUGGGGGAAACCCUGAUCCAGCCAUGCCGCGUGUGUGAAGAAGGCCCUCGGGUUGUAAAGCACUUUCAGCGAGGAAGAACGCCUAGCGGUUAAUACCCGCUAGGAAAGACAUCACUCGCAGAAGAAGCACCGGCUAACUCCGUGCCAGCAGCCGCGGUAAUACGGAGGGUGCAAGCGUUAAUCGGAAUUACUGGGCGUAAAGCGCGCGUAGGUGGCUUGAUAAGCCGGUUGUGAAAGCCCCGGGCUCAACCUGGGAACGGCAUCCGGAACUGUCAAGCUAGAGUGCAGGAGAGGAAGGUAGAAUUCCCGGUGUAGCGGUGAAAUGCGUAGAGAUCGGGAGGAAUGACCAGCGUUUGGGUGCCUAGCGCACUUUGUGGCGAAGUUAACGCGAUAAGUCGACCGCCUGGGGAGUACGGCCGCAAGGUAAAACUCAAAUGAAUUGACGGGGGCCCGCACAAGCGGUGGAGCAUGUGGUUUAAUUCGAUGCAACGCGAAGAACCUUACCUACUCUUGACAUCCUGCGAAUUUGGUAGAGAUACCUUAGUGCCUUCGGGAGCGCAGAGACAGGUGCUGCAUGGCUGUCGUCAGCUCGUGUUGUGAAAUGUUGGGUUAAGUCCCGUAACGAGCGCAACCCUUGUCCUUAUUUGCCAGCGCGUAAUGGCGGGAACUCUAAGGAGACUGCCGGUGACAAACCGGAGGAAGGUGGGGACGACGUCAAGUCAUCAUGGCCCUUACGAGUAGGGCUACACACGUGCUACAAUGGUCGGUACAAAGGGUUGCCAACUCGCGAGAGUGAGCCAAUCCCGAAAAGCCGAUCUCAGUCCGGAUCGGAGUCUGCAACUCGACUCCGUGAAGUCGGAAUCGCUAGUAAUCGUGGAUCAGAAUGCCACGGUGAAUACGUUCCCGGGCCUUGUACACACCGCCCGUCACACCAUGGGAGUGGGCUGCACCAGAAGUAGAUAGCUUAACCUUCGGGAGGGCGUUUACCACGGUGUGGUUCAUGACUGGGGUGAAGUCGUAACAAGGUAGCCGUAGGGGAACCUGCGGCUGGAUCACCUCCUUUCU
Molecule: ribosomal RNA, 1422 nt
Filed under: uncultured organism
Description: partial 16S ribosomal RNA
Rfam family: Bacterial small subunit ribosomal RNA
Source: RNAcentral